This 418-nucleotide ribosomal RNA is filed under the name uncultured bacterium. RNAcentral describes it as "bacterial SSU rRNA". It matches the Rfam family "Bacterial small subunit ribosomal RNA", at positions 359 to 775 of the family's 1533-position model. The record is from RNAcentral.
GAAUAUUGGGCAAUGGAGGAGACUCUGACCCAGCCAUGCCGCGUGAAGGAAGAAGGCUUUCUGAGUUGUAAACUUCUUUUAUCUGAGAAAAAACGAUCCCUGCGGGGAGCAUUGAUGGUAUCAGAUGAAUAAGCACCGGCUAACUCCGUGCCAGCAGCCGCGGUAAUACGGAGGGUGCAAGCGUUGUCCGGAUUUAUUGGGUUUAAAGGGUGCGUAGGUGGCCUUGUAAGUCAGUGUUUAAAGUCUUCAGCUUAACUGGAGGAGUGGCAUUGAUACUGCGAGGCUUGAGUAAAGUUGAGGUAGGCGGAAUUGAAGGUGUAGCGGUGAAAUGCAUAGAUAUCUUCAAGAACACCGAUUGCGAAGGCAGCUUACUAAGCUUUAACUGACACUGAGGCACGAAAGCGUGGGGAUCAAACAG